RNAcentral lists this unclassified non-coding RNA (378 nucleotides) under Hevea brasiliensis (rubber tree). The record is from RNAcentral. Lineage: Eukaryota; Viridiplantae; Streptophyta; Magnoliopsida; Malpighiales; Euphorbiaceae.
GUAAACUAAGCUUCGAGACUAAGACAAUAAAGAGAGGAGAAGAUGAUCACUUGAAGCACUUGGCAUCCAACAGCGCCUCACCCUCAAAAGGCUCCUGAUCCUCAAUCAUAGCACUGACCCGCUCCUUCUGAGCCUCAUCAGUGAUAUCAACCUUGGUCCACUCAUAUAGGGGGUAGUCCACGCAAUCGUCCUUCACAAGCUGAGGAAAGUCCUUUCCACGAAAGAGCCACACCCCCUUCACCUUGAAAGGGGCCUCCGAGCCGAUGAUCAGCAUCUUCCCGAAAGCAUACUUCCUAGCCAGAUCCAUACGCUGCAGAAAACCACCCACCUUGUUCAAUGUCACAUAUGUCACCGUGUUCUCCUCAUUGUACUUGUAGU